GAGCUUUGAUUCCUGGCUCAGGAUGAACGCUGGCGGCGUGCUUAACACAUGCAAGUCGAACGAUGACCCGGUGCUUGCACCGGUGAUUAGUGGCGAACGGGUGAGUAACACGUGAGUAACCUGCCCUUAACUCUGGGAUAAGCCUGGGAAACUGGGUCUAAUACCGGAUAUGACUCCUCAUCGCAUGGUGGGGGGUGGAAAGCUUUAUUGUGGUUUUGGAUGGACUCGCGGCCUAUCAGCUUGUUGGUGAGGUAAUGGCUCACCAAGGCGACGACGGGUAGCCGGCCUGAGAGGGUGACCGGCCACACUGGGACUGAGACACGGCCCAGACUCCUACGGGAGGCAGCAGUGGGGAAUAUUGCACAAUGGGCGCAAGCCUGAUGCAGCGACGCCGCGUGAGGGAUGACGGCCUUCGGGUUGUAAACCUCUUUCAG
Molecule: ribosomal RNA, 434 nt
Filed under: Micrococcineae bacterium CL3.118
Lineage: Bacteria; Bacillati; Actinomycetota; Actinomycetes; Micrococcales
Description: bacterial SSU rRNA
Rfam family: Bacterial small subunit ribosomal RNA
Source: RNAcentral